Molecule: unclassified non-coding RNA, 199 nt
Filed under: uncultured Tomentella
Lineage: Eukaryota; Fungi; Basidiomycota; Agaricomycetes; Thelephorales; Thelephoraceae
Description: sequence contains ITS1
Source: RNAcentral
CCGAAUUGUCAACAAGAGUUGUUGCUGGUCCUCAAAUGGGGGCAUGUGCACGCUCUGUUCACACAUCCACUCACACCCUGUGCACCCUCUGUGGUUCUAUGGUUGGGGGGCCUGUCCCCCCUGCUGUGGUUCUGCAUCUUUACACACACACUGUAACAAAGUCUUAUGGAAUGCAUGCCGCGUUUAACGCAAUACAAUA